Molecule: long non-coding RNA, 294 nt
Filed under: Carica papaya (papaya)
Lineage: Eukaryota; Viridiplantae; Streptophyta; Magnoliopsida; Brassicales; Caricaceae
Description: long non-coding RNA (CPAP_LNC014724)
Source: RNAcentral
GAUCACAAUUUCAGCACGACAUCCAACAAUUUGAAAUGAAAGGUUUUAUGUAAUUUUUGCAUAGCUUUGUAUUAAUGCCUAGAGGUUUUCGUUGUUAAUUUGUGUUAGAAUUUAUCAAACUAAUUAGGUAUUGGGUUGAAUAUAUUAUAUAAAAAAAGUAAAGUUUUGAUUUCUAUCCUAAUUCAUACUUCCAAAAAAAUGAAAAAUGCUUUCUAAAUCUAAAUUAGAAUAAUAAUUAGAAAUAUCUUGAUUGAUCUUUCUAUAUAAAAUUUUUUCAUUCAAUGGAAAUAUUCU